UGGGGAAUCUUGCACAAUGGAGGAAACUCUGAUGCAGCGACGCCGCGUGAGCGAUGAAGCCCUUCGGGGUGUAAAGCUCUUUCGGCAGGGAAGAUUAUGACGGUACCUGCAGAAGCAGCUGCGGCUAACUACGUGCCAGCAGCCGCGGUAAUACGUAGGCAGCAAGCGUUGUUCGGAGUUACUGGGCGUAAAGGGUGCGUAGGCGGCUUUUUAAGUUUGGUGUGAAAUCUCCCGGCUCAACUGGGAGGGUGCGCCGAAUACUGAGAGGCUAGAGUGCGGGAGAGGAAAGUGGAAUUCCUGGUGUAGCGGUGAAAUGCGUAGAUAUCAGGAGGAACACCGGUGGUGUAAACGGCUUUCUGGACCGUAACUGACGCUGAUGCACGAAAGCGUGGGUAGCAAACAGGAUUAGAUACCC
RNAcentral lists this ribosomal RNA (415 nucleotides) under uncultured bacterium. RNAcentral's name for it is "bacterial SSU rRNA". It matches the Rfam family "Bacterial small subunit ribosomal RNA", at positions 355 to 787 of the family's 1533-position model. The record is from RNAcentral.